UGACGUCAAGUCCUCAUGGCCUUUAUGACCAGGGCUACACACGUACUACAAUGGCCGGUACAAAGGGCAGCGACACAGCGAGUGUGAAAGCCGAAUCCCGAAAAGCCGGUCUCAGUCCGGAUUGGAGUCUGCAACUCGACUCCAUGAAGUUGGAAUCGCUAGUAAUCGCGGAUCAGCAUGCCGCGGUGAAUUACCGGUUCCCGGGCCUU
Molecule: ribosomal RNA, 209 nt
Filed under: uncultured Desulfocapsa sp.
Lineage: Bacteria; Pseudomonadati; Thermodesulfobacteriota; Desulfobulbia; Desulfobulbales; Desulfocapsaceae
Description: partial 16S ribosomal RNA
Rfam family: Bacterial small subunit ribosomal RNA
Source: RNAcentral